GAGCUCGCUUCGCAGCACAUAUACUAAAAUCGGAAGGAUACAGAGGAGAUUAGCAUGGCCCCGCGCAUGGAUGACCCGAAAACACACACCAAAACACCAGAAAGCA
Small nuclear RNA from Myotis daubentonii (Daubenton's bat), 106 nucleotides. Lineage: Eukaryota; Metazoa; Chordata; Mammalia; Chiroptera; Vespertilionidae. The record is from RefSeq and is a predicted model, not a curated record.